CUACGGGGGGCAGCAGUGGGGAAUAUUGCACAAUGGGCGCAAGCCUGAUGCAGCCAUGCCGCGUGUCUGAAGAAGGCCUUCGGGUUGUAAAGUACUUUCAGCGGGGAGGAAGGGAGUAAAGUUAAUACCUUUGCUCAUUGACGUUACCCGCAGAAGAAGCACCGGCUAACUCCGUGCCAGCAGCCGCGGUAAUACGGAGGGUGCAAGCGUUAAUCGGAAUUACUGGGCGUAAAGCGCACGCAGGCGGUUUGUUAAGUCAGAUGUGAAAUCCCCGGGCUCAACCUGGGAACUGCAUCUGAUACUGGCAAGCUUGAGUCUCGUAGAGGGGGGUAGAAUUCCAGGUGUAGCGGUGAAAUGCGUAGAGAUCUGGGGGAAUACCGGUGGCGAAGGCGGCCCCCUGGACGAAGACUGACGCUCAGGUGCGAAAGCGUGGGGAGCAAACAGGAUUAGAUACCCCUGUAGUC
RNAcentral lists this ribosomal RNA (464 nucleotides) under uncultured bacterium. RNAcentral describes it as "partial 16S ribosomal RNA". It matches the Rfam family "Bacterial small subunit ribosomal RNA", at positions 339 to 795 of the family's 1533-position model. The record is from RNAcentral.